AAGCGUGGGGAGCAAACAGGAUUAGAUUCCCUGGUAGUCCACGCCGUAAACGAUGUCGAUUUGGAGGUUGUGCCCUUGAGGCGUGGCUUCCGGAGCUAACGCGUUAAAUCGACCGCCUGGGGAGUACGGCCGCAAGGUUAAAACUCAAAUGAAUUGACGGGGGCCCGCACAAGCGGUGGAGCAUGUGGUUUAAUUCGAUGCAACGCGAAGAACCUUACCUGGUCUUGACAUCCACAGAACUUUCCAGAGAUGGAUUGGUGCCUUCGGGAACUGUGAGACAGGUGCUGCAUGGCUGUCGUCAGCUCGUGUUGUGAAAUGUUGGGUUAAGUCCCGCAACGAGCGCAACCCUUAUCCUUUGUUGCCAGCGGUCCGGCCGGGAACUCAAAGGAGACUGCCAGUGAUAAACUGGAGGAAGGUGGGGAUGACGUCAAGUCAUCAUGGCCCUUACGACCAGGGCUACACACGUGCUACAAUGGCAUAUACAAAGAGAAGCGACCUCGCGAGAGCAAGCGGACCUCAUAAAGUAUGUCGUAGUCCGGAUUGGAGUCUGCAACUCGACUCCAUGAAGUCGGAAUCGCUAGUAAUCGUAGAUCAGAAUGCUACGGUGAAUACGUUCCCGGGCCUUGUACACACCGCCCGUCACACCAUGGGAGUGGGUUGCAAAAGAAGUAGGUAGCUUAACCUUCGGGAGGGCGCUUACCACUUUGUGAUUCAUAACUGGGGUGAA
Molecule: ribosomal RNA, 727 nt
Filed under: uncultured organism
Description: SSU rRNA
Rfam family: Bacterial small subunit ribosomal RNA
Source: RNAcentral